UGGCGCAGUGGUUAAAAGCACUUGGCUGCUAACCAAAAAGUCGGUGGUUCGAACCCACC
This 59-nucleotide transfer RNA is filed under the name Loxodonta africana (African savanna elephant). It matches the Rfam family "tRNA", at positions 1 to 63 of the family's 71-position model. Rfam says of the family: Transfer RNA (tRNA) molecules are approximately 80 nucleotides in length. Their secondary structure includes four short double-helical elements and three loops (D, anti-codon, and T loops). The record is from Rfam by way of RNAcentral. Lineage: Eukaryota; Metazoa; Chordata; Mammalia; Proboscidea; Elephantidae.